Ramularia collo-cygni is the source of this 72-nucleotide non-coding RNA. NCBI's taxonomy places the organism in Eukaryota, Fungi, Ascomycota, Dothideomycetes, Mycosphaerellales, Mycosphaerellaceae. The record is from the annotation of a RefSeq genome assembly.
GCUUCAUUGGUGCAGUGGUAGCACGCCAGUUUCCCAAACUGGAGGUCAGGGGUUCGAACCCCCUAUGUAGCA